This 244-nucleotide ribosomal RNA is filed under the name uncultured bacterium. RNAcentral's name for it is "partial 16S ribosomal RNA". It matches the Rfam family "Bacterial small subunit ribosomal RNA", at positions 67 to 339 of the family's 1533-position model. The record is from RNAcentral.
CGAGACCUUCGGGUCUAGUGGCGCACGGGUGCGUAACGCGUGGGAAUCUGCCCUUAGGUACGGAAUAACUCAGAGAAAUUUGUGCUAAUACCGUAUGUGCCCUUCGGGGGAAAGAUUUAUCGCCAAAGGAUUGGCCCGCGUUGGAUUAGGUAGUUGGCGGGGUAAUGGCCCACCAAGGCAACGACGGGUAGCCGGCCUGAGAGGGCGACCGGCCACACUGGGACUGAGACACGGCCCAGACUCC